Molecule: ribosomal RNA, 460 nt
Filed under: uncultured bacterium
Lineage: Bacteria
Description: partial 16S ribosomal RNA
Rfam family: Bacterial small subunit ribosomal RNA
Source: RNAcentral
CCUACGGGGGGCAGCAGUGAGGAAUAUUGGUCAAUGGACGAGAGUCUGAACCAGCCAAGUCGCGUGAAGGAUGACUGCCCUAUGGGUUGUAAACCUCUUUUAUAAAGGAAUAAAACGGGGCACGUGUGCCUUUUUGCAUGUACUUUAUGAAUAAGGAUCGGCUAACGCCGUGCCAGCAGCCGCGGUAAUACGGAGGAUCCGGGCGUUAUCCGGAUGUAUUGGGUUUAAAGGGAGCGUAGAUGGGUUGUUAAGUCAGUUGUGAAAGUUUGCGGCUCAACCGUAAAAUUGCAAUUGAUACUGGCAGUCUUGAGUACAGUUGAGGUAGGCGGAAUUCGUGGUGUAGCGGUGAAAUGCUUAGAUAUCACGAAGAACCCCGAUUGCGAAGGCAGCUUACUAAACUGUGACUGACAUUGAUGCUCGAAAGUGUGGGUAUCAAACAGGAUUAGAUACCCCUGUAGUC